Molecule: ribosomal RNA, 426 nt
Filed under: uncultured bacterium
Lineage: Bacteria
Description: bacterial SSU rRNA
Rfam family: Bacterial small subunit ribosomal RNA
Source: RNAcentral
CGUGCUUAACACAUGCAAGUCGAACGAACCUUCGGGUUAGUGGCGGACGGGUGAGUAACGCGUGAGAAUCUGCCCUCAGGAGGGGGAUAACGGCUGGAAACGGCCGCUAAUACCCCAUAUGCCGAGAGGUGAAAUGAAUUUCGCCUGAGGAUGAGCUCGCGUCUGAUUAGCUAGUUGGUGGGGUAAGGGCCUACCAAGGCGACGAUCAGUAGCUGGUCUGAGAGGAUGAUCAGCCACACUGGGACUGAGACACGGCCCAGACUCCUACGGGAGGCAGCAGUGGGGAAUUUUCCGCAAUGGGCGAAAGCCUGACGGAGCAACGCCGCGUGAGGGAUGAAGGCCUCUGGGCUGUAAACCUCUUUUCUCAAGGAAGAAGAUCUGACGGUACUUGAGGAAUAAGCCACGGCUAAUUCCGUGCCAGCAGCC